UUGGAGGGCAAGUCUGGUGCCAGCAGCCGCGGUAAUUCCAGCUCCAAUAGCGUAUAUUAAAGUUGUUGCAGUUAAAAAGCUCGUAGUUGAAUUUCGGGAUCAGAUUGUUGGUCGUGCCUCGGUACGCACUGGUAUUAUUGGUUCCUACCUUCUGAAGGACCGCGAUGUCAUUAAUUUGGUGUCGUGGGGAAUCAGGACUGUUACUUUGAAAAAAUUAGAGUGUUUAAAGCAGGCUUACGCUUGAAUACAUUAGCAUGGAAUAAUGAAAUAGGACAUUUGAUUCUAUUUUGUUGGUUUCUAGGAUUGACGUAAUGAUUAAUAGGGAUAGUUGGGGGCAUUAGUAUUCAAUUGUCAGAGGUGAAAUUCUUGGAUUUAUUGAAGACUAACUACUGCGAAAGCAUUUGCCAAGGAUGUUUUCAUUAAUCAAGAACGAAAGUUAGGGGAUCGAAGACGAUCAGAUACCGUCGUAGUCUUAACCAUAAACUAUGCCGACUAGGGAUCGGAUGAUGUUAAUUUUUUAAUGACUCAUUCGGCGCCUUACGGGAAACCAAAGUGUUUGGGUUC
This 564-nucleotide ribosomal RNA is filed under the name uncultured Glomeromycotina. Its description in RNAcentral is "SSU rRNA". It matches the Rfam family "Eukaryotic small subunit ribosomal RNA", at positions 548 to 1114 of the family's 1831-position model. The record is from RNAcentral. Lineage: Eukaryota; Fungi; Glomeromycota.